Molecule: non-coding RNA, 26 nt
Filed under: Mus musculus (house mouse)
Lineage: Eukaryota; Metazoa; Chordata; Mammalia; Rodentia; Muridae
Source: RNAcentral
UAAAGCUCAAAGGACACAUUACACCU